Molecule: ribosomal RNA, 442 nt
Filed under: uncultured Parabacteroides sp.
Lineage: Bacteria; Pseudomonadati; Bacteroidota; Bacteroidia; Bacteroidales; Tannerellaceae
Description: bacterial SSU rRNA
Rfam family: Bacterial small subunit ribosomal RNA
Source: RNAcentral
UGAGGAAUAUUGGUCAAUGGGCGGGAGCCUGAACCAGCCAAGUCGCGUGAGGGAGGAAGGUCCUACGGAUUGUAAACCUCUUUAGCCGGGGAGCAACGUGCGCCACGUGUGGCGCAGUGAGAGUACCCGGAGAAUAAGCAUCGGCUAACUCCGUGCCAGCAGCCGCGGUAAUACGGAGGAUGCGAGCGUUAUCCGGAUUCAUUGGGUUUAAAGGGUGCGUAGGUUGCCGAUUAAGUCAGCGGUGAAAGUCAGUGGCUCAACCAUUGAACUGCCGUUGAAACUGGUUGGCUUGAGUACGUACGGGGCAGGCGGAAUGCGUGGUGUAGCGGUGAAAUGCAUAGAUAUCACGCAGAACCCCGAUCGCGAAGGCAGCCUGCCAGGCCGUGACUGACACUGAUGCACGAAAGCGUGGGUAUCGAACAGGAUUAGAUACCCUGGUAGU